UGAUUCGUUGGUGACACAUUCUUAUCAAAAUAUAACAAAUUCUCACCUAACUACUCAGAACCUUUAUUUUCUACUAGCUCAAUUACAUGAAAGAUGAAAAAAUCUCUGAAAGAUGAAUGGAUUUUGCUUAAA
Populus trichocarpa (black cottonwood) is the source of this 132-nucleotide non-coding RNA. NCBI's taxonomy places the organism in Eukaryota, Viridiplantae, Streptophyta, Magnoliopsida, Malpighiales, Salicaceae. The record is from Rfam.